AUUGAACGCUGGCGGCAGGCCUAACACAUGCAAGUCGAACGAGUGGCGGACGGGUGAGUAAUGUCUGGGAAACUGCCUGAUGGAGGGGGAUAACUACUGGAAACGGUAGCUAAUACCGCAUACCAUCGGAUGUGCCCAGAUGGGAUUAGCUAGUAGGUGGGGUAACGGCUCACCUAGGCGACGAUCCCUAGCUGGUCUGAGAGGAUGACCGGCCACACUGGAACUGAGGCACGGUCCAGACUCCGACGGGGGGCAGCGGUGGGGAAUAUUGCACAAUGGGCGCAAGCCUGAGGCAGCCAUGCCGCGUGUGUGAAGAAGGCCUUCGGGUUGUAAAGCACUGUCAGCGGGGAGGCGUUACCCGCAGAAGAAGCACCGGCUAACUCCGUGCCAGCAGCCGCGGUAAUUC
Molecule: ribosomal RNA, 406 nt
Filed under: uncultured bacterium
Lineage: Bacteria
Description: partial 16S ribosomal RNA
Rfam family: Bacterial small subunit ribosomal RNA
Source: RNAcentral